RNAcentral lists this transfer RNA (74 nucleotides) under Paramuricea clavata. Its description in RNAcentral is "tRNA-Cys". It matches the Rfam family "tRNA". Rfam says of the family: Transfer RNA (tRNA) molecules are approximately 80 nucleotides in length. Their secondary structure includes four short double-helical elements and three loops (D, anti-codon, and T loops). Lineage: Eukaryota; Metazoa; Cnidaria; Anthozoa; Malacalcyonacea; Plexauridae. The record is from RNAcentral.
GCCUCUGUAGCUCAGUUGGUUAGAGCGCUGCACUGCAAUUGCAGGGACGUAGGUUCAAUUCCUACCAGAGGACA